This 801-nucleotide ribosomal RNA is filed under the name Triticum aestivum (bread wheat). RNAcentral's name for it is "partial small subunit ribosomal RNA". Lineage: Eukaryota; Viridiplantae; Streptophyta; Magnoliopsida; Poales; Poaceae. The record is from RNAcentral.
AUGGCGGCGGCGACGGCUCCGGUCGAGGUGCCCGCGGCGGCGCCGGUGAGGACUGUGAAGGUCACAAAUGUUUCCCUGAGUGCAACUGAGCAAGACAUUAAGGAGUUCUUUUCUUUUUCAGGAGACAUUGAACAUGUGGAUAUGAAAAGUGGUGACGAGUGGUCUCAAAUUGCAUAUGUUACUUUUAAAGAUGCCCAAGGAGCAGAGACUGCGCUUCUUCUUUCGGGUGCAACAAUAGUUGACCUUUCUGUUAUCAUUGCACCUGCUCCAGAGUAUCAACCGCCCCCUACUGCCUCUGCUCCACUGAUGAAUGGAACCAGAGUACCAGUGGGUGGUGACAAUGUGGUCCACAAGGCUGAGGAUGUUGUCAGCACUAUGCUUGCCAGGGGUUUCACCCUGGGCAAAGACGCUGUCGGAAAGGCGAAAUCUUUUGAUGAGAGGCAUGGCUUCACAUCCACCGCCACCGCCAAGGUGGCCUCCAUCGACAAGAAGAUAGGGCUCAGCGAGAAGUUUACCAUGGGCACUACAGUGGUAAACGAGAAGGUCAAGGAGAUGGACCAGAAGUUCCAGGUCUCCGACAAGACCAAGUCGGCGCUGGCUGCGGCAGAGCAGACGGUGAGCAACGCUGGGUCCGCCAUCAUGAAGAACAGGUACGUCUUCACGAGCGCGUCGUGGGUCACCAGCGCGUUUGGCAAGGUUGCCAAGGCCGCCACCGACGUCAGCACGAUGACGAAGGAGAAGAUGUCAGCCGAGGACCAGCAAAAGGGCUCCGGGGGCAGCUCGUACACGCCCAUCCGCUGA